This 239-nucleotide ribosomal RNA is filed under the name uncultured bacterium. Its description in RNAcentral is "partial 16S ribosomal RNA". It matches the Rfam family "Bacterial small subunit ribosomal RNA", at positions 97 to 334 of the family's 1533-position model. The record is from RNAcentral.
GGCGGACGGGUGAGUAACGCGUGAGCAACCUGGCCUUCAGAGGGGGAUACCGUCUGGAAACGGACGUUAAUACCGCAUAACAUGUCGGGAGGGCAUCUUCCUGACAUCAAAGGAGAAAUUCACUGAAGGAUGGGCUCGCGUCCGAUUAGGUAGUUGGUGGGGUAAUGGCCCACCAAGGCGACGACGGGUAGCCGGCCUGAGAGGGCGACCGGCCACACUGGGACUGAGACACGGCCCAG